Long non-coding RNA from Folsomia candida, 418 nucleotides. RefSeq lists it as uncharacterized. The record is from RefSeq and is a predicted model, not a curated record. The transcript has 3 exons. Lineage: Eukaryota; Metazoa; Arthropoda; Collembola; Entomobryomorpha; Isotomidae.
CAAAUUAGUUGCAAGAAAAUCCCAGCAAUUUAGGCCAAGCACGUAUUCAAGUACCUCACACAAAAUACCUAAAACCAACACGGCAUCGUGAUCCUCAGAAUUCUCUUGGAGGGCGUGACUCAAGUUGGAAUAUUUUGUUUUUCACCUUUGACCCUGCAAGGUAUGCUCCGACCCAACCUCGUCCCUAUCUCCCCAGUGGAAGUGCAUCUGAGAAAAUGUGUAGCGAUGAUGAAGUCCAGCCCCUGAUAAGCCUAAGGAAGAAGUGGGCUCUCUGAUGUUUCCAUUCAGUUGGACUUGAACUAGAAUAAAGUAGUAAACUGUUAAGUUGAGGUGUUUACAAGUGUGACCCCGAUUCGUAAAGAAGAAUCCCUUCUGACUCUGUUGGUACUGCGAGCUGAACCAAACCUUUGUGUACCCC